GAUGAAGAAGCAGCGAAAUGCGAUAAGUAAUGUGAAUUGCAGAAUUCAGUGAAUCAUCGAAUCUUUGAACGCACAUUGCGCCCCUUGGUAUUCCGAGGGGCAUGCCUGUUCGAGCGUCAUUAUAACCCCUCAAGCUCAGCUUGGUGUUGGGGCCUGCUGCACUGGCAGCCCUUAAAAUCAGUGGCGGCGCCAUCUGGCUCUAAGCGUAGUAAUUCUUCUCGCUAUGGAGUCCUGGUGGAUGCUUGCCAUCAACCCCCAAUUUUUCUAUGGUUGACCUCGGAUCAGGUAGGGAUACCCGCUGAACUUAAGCAUAUCAAUAAGCGGAGGA
Molecule: unclassified non-coding RNA, 328 nt
Filed under: soil metagenome
Description: partial contains 5.8S ribosomal RNA, internal transcribed spacer 2, and large subunit ribosomal RNA
Rfam family: 5.8S ribosomal RNA (bases 1-119)
Source: RNAcentral